RNAcentral lists this long non-coding RNA (9234 nucleotides) under Capsicum annuum. Its description in RNAcentral is "long non-coding RNA (CANN_LNC001739)". Lineage: Eukaryota; Viridiplantae; Streptophyta; Magnoliopsida; Solanales; Solanaceae. The record is from RNAcentral.
UAAUUUCUAUUUUAAAUAGUUCAGGGGGGGUCAUAGGAACCCCGCAAAGUAUAGGUGUGUAGUUGGGAUUUGAAGUAAAGGUUGGAGGGGCUUUUAUAUAUCUUAAAUAUAUAUAUUAAACAGUAAAAAUAAUAAAUACAUAUGUUACCCUAUAGAAUGACAUAGAACAGUUUAGAGACAAAUUCAGCACCGUACAAAAUACAUAUGAAUAUGCAUUUGUAUAUACAAAAUACAAAUACAUGCACAUACCCCAAAAAAUUUAUAAUACAGUUGUAACAUAAUACAUCUGUCUAGUUGCUGUUGAACUACACAUUUUUGCUUGUUUAUGUAGACACCACAAAUAUUCUUAUGAUGAAAAAUCUUGUACUGCAUCUUUGGUAAUAUUGCCUUAAUAAGUUCUUCAAUAUCAUUGACUCUGUGACAUCAUAUAUGCGGUGCAAACCUUAGAAGUACUCUUGCCAUGAAUAUAUGAUCAUGUGACAUCUAUAGAACAAAACAAUGACAUAAAUUUGUAUUAAAUGUACUUUUCACAAAAAAAUAAUAUAAAAUACACAGUAUACAUAUGUUUUCUUUUACGUAAUACAUAUUACAUCACAAAAAAAAAUACAUAUAUCUCUUCAUAUGUAUUUACAGAAUACAUGCCUGAUCCAUAUGUAUAUUAUCAUACAAAAAAUAUAAAAUAUGACUCUGAUAUGUAUUUACGAAAUACAUAUCAGAUUCAUGUUAAACAUCAACAAACACAACUAUGCUAUAUAUCUUCAUAUGUAUUUACGAAAUACAAAGGUGACACAUAUAAAAUAGUAAAAUGUAAAUGCAUGUCUUAAAUGGUAACAAAUACAACUAUAUAUAUAUACGCAUGUAACUAAACCAAACAAUACAUAAUAAAUAUCACGAAUAUUAAAAAAUACUAAAAAAAUAUAUAUGUUAUCAUCUGGAAAAAAAAUACCAUCAUAACCAUAUGUAUAUAAAAAAUGCAUAUACUGCACAUAACCUAUAAGCUAAUAUCAUUUUCCUGAAAUUUGAAUGUUUCUUAUUUCAAUUAUAUCCCUUAUUAAACUUUACUUAAUGUGAUAAUGUUUACAAACACCUCGAACCUAAGUUAUAAGAGAAUUAAAUUUUUACCCAAAAACAUGACUGUAAAGAUGUUGAAGCAUUGAACUAAGACUCUUAUUGUUGUAUCUUAUUUUUAGUUUGUUCUGAUCAUUUCAUUAAGAGAUGAAUGUAGAGUUGUUUUCAUCCCUGAAUGAUGUUUUCGUUCAUUAUUAUUAUAUUUAUCCAAAAAAAAAUCAAUGUUAUGAUAGCAUACCUCUUGUAUUCUGAGAAUUUUCCUACAACAUUACUGUAAUUUUAUCACCUUAUCACCAAAAGAAAGCCACAAAGGUAAGUGAGGUCUCUCUUACCGGGAAAAAAAAAGAUAUAUGUGAUUUGGUUAAAGAUUAUUACUGCGAAAUGAUCUUAUCUUACCCAUAAAACAAGAAGAAUAUAAACUAAGCAAGAAUACUUGGAAAGUAUUUAAGAAAUUAAGGUGAAGUAGGAUUAGGUGAAUCUGUAAAUCAGAAAUUUUAAAAAGAUUAGGGUAGUCCAGUGGAGCUAGGAAAGAUCGUUUUAUGAUUUAUUUUGUAUUCCAUUAGCUAAUUGUGUCCUUCUAUUUCUAGAGUCUAGUUCUGAUCCACAUGUGUGCAUUGUUCCAUCAAUUGGUUAAAUUAGAGAGAGGUAAAAUAAUAGAGUAAAAAUAGGAAAGAAAGAGUGAAACACGCAAAUUUAAUGGUUAGAAAGUGCUACUUUCACUAUAAAAUGUAUUUUUGUAAAAGUGUUGUUAUUUCUUGUAAUUAUGGUCAUAAGUUUGUCAGUUUCUGUAAUUUUUUCUAUUUUUUAUACAAUAUUUGAUUUGAUGUAUUGAAAUUAAUAAUAUUACUAUUAUAUUUUAAAAAUAAUAUUAUUUGUUUAGAAAAAUAUCCUCGAUAUAUUAUAGCCCCGUUUGGAUAUAAAAAUCACAACUUUUUGGAGUUGGAGUUGAAGUUGGAGUUGGAGUUGGACUUGGAGUUGUAUUUUGCCAUGAAUAUAAAUUGAAGUUGUUUUUGAAAUUUUGUGAAAAAAGUAGAAGUGAAAAAAGUGAAAAUAAGUUUUUCUUGUUUUCACAUUUCCAAACAGCUUUAAAUUAUAUUUGAAAUUUUCAUGACCAAACACUAUUAUUUUCACUUUUUUCACUAAGUAGCCGUUUGGCCAUGAAAAUUAUUUCUUUUUUUCUGAAAAAUUAUUUCAUUUUAAUGAAAAAAGUGAAAACAGGAUGCGUUUGAUCAUGAAAAUUUCAAAUACAAUUCUGAAAUUGUAUUUAAAAAAAUGAAACAAGUUUUACUUGUUUUCACUUUUUUCACUCAUUCUUCUCUCACAAAAUUUCAAAAACAACUUUAACUUAUAUUCAUGGCCAAACACAACUUCAACUACAACUUCAACUUCAACUCUAGCUCCAGCUCCUGAAAAUUAUGAUUUUCAUGGCCAAACGGGGCCUAGAAUGUGUUUGGUAUGAAGGAAAGUAUUUUCUGAAAAGUGUUUUCCAAUUUUUUCAUAUUUGGUUGGCUUCAAUGUUUUGGAAAAUGAUUUUUAAAUCAACUUAUUUUCUUCAAAUCUAAAAAAAAUGAUUUUCCUUCAAAAAGUAAGAAAAACAUUUUUCAUAACUAUUUUUCAACCUCACUCUUAAAUUGAAAUAUUCAUAUAACUCUCAAAAUCACCACCCUUCUCUGACCCUCAAUCUCCUACCACCACCCCCAUUCAAAAAACCUAUUUUAAAUUUUUUUCUUACAUUAUCCCCUACCCCAAAACCCAAACCCUACCCACCUUUCCCUCUCCAAAAAGACUAUUUAAUUUUUUAAAAAAAAUUUCAAACUUUUCUCUUACUCCCCCUAUAUGACCCCCCACCCCUAUCAACCCCUCCCCCUCCUUCCAAUAGAAUUAAAAUUUUUAUUUUUUUUUUCAAAAUUUUUAGUUAUUUCCUUACUCCACCCUAUCUACCCUACCCCGAUCCCCAACAAACUCCAUUCAAAAAAAAUAUAUUUCAAUUUUUUUUCUUACAUCAUCCCUACCCUAAAACUUAAACUCCUACUCUCUCCAGAAAAAAAGAAUUUAUUUUAAAAAAAAAAACAAUCAAACUUUUUUCUUAACCCCCCCAACCAACCUCCCUCCUCCCCUCCCCUCCCCCUCCCCACUUUAAAAAAUUAAAUUUUUUAAAUUUAUUUUAAUUUUUUUAAAUUUUUUUACAACCCCACCCUCACUUCCCUACUCCGACCCCACACCCUACUAGCCGCCUCCCCCCUCCGUAAAAAAAUAUUAAUUUGAUUUUUUCCUUACACCACCCCUACUACCUAUUUUGACAACCCCCCUCCCCUAAAAAAAUUAUUAUUUUAAAAAAGUUCUUAUCCCACCUUUCUUAUCCUAUUCGUUCUCAUUAUUUUUGUUAAAUAUAUACAAAUACUUUUAGAAAAUAUAUACUUACUCAGUUUUCAUAACAAACACAAGAUUAUAAGUAAAAAAUAACUUAUUUCUAGAAAAUAUUUUUCCUCCUUCAUAUUGAACAAUCCCUAAAAAAAUAUAUUUUUCAGAGUCAAAAAUUAUUUUUCUAAAAUAUAUUUUUACUCUUUAGCUAAACAUUAAAAUGUAUUUUCUGAAAAAUAUUUUUUUCAUUCACCAAUCAAACACUAGAAAAUAUUUUUUGAAAAAAAAUUUCCACUCACCAACCAAACAUAAGAAAGCAAGUAAGAAAUUGUACUUCAUACCAAACACACCCUAAAGUAAAAUAAUUUUUUGGAAAAAAGUAAAAAAAUACUCAUGGCCAAACGGCUACUAUAACUUUGUGCAUUUUCUUUGCAAAACUUUAUUAUUUUUUAACAAAUAUAAAAAAAUUAAUAAUAUAACUAAUAGCUUACUUUGAAAUUUUAAGAUUCAAUCAUUCUCUUGGAGGAAUUGUUUUUUCUUUUUGUGUUAGCUUCUCUUUAUUUGUUCAUCAUUUGUUUUUUGUUUCACUUUGUGGUGUUCUUAAGUUAGAGGAGGUACAUGUAACUUUUGAAUGAGACAAUAGAAUCGUUGUUAACAUAAAUUGUAUUUCAUAAAGUGUUAAAGCUAAGCAAAAAAAAUAUUUUUAUUUGUGAUAUAUCCUAUUUACAAAAUUAAAGCUUGUAUGAAAUCAUUCAAUUUAUUUUCGAGUUUUGAUCAUCAAGUAUUUUUAAGUUAAUGGGAAAGUUUUUUUAUGACUAAAAUUAUUUAGAGGGAUAUUAGCAUCUUGAUAAAUUAAAAAGAAAUAACUCACAUUGAAUAAAUUGAAAAAGAUUUAAAGAAAUUUGAGGGUAUAUUUAUCUUUAGUCAUAUUUAUCCAUGGAUUUUACUAAUCCCACCAAUUUAGGUGUAUUAGUUAUACACCCAAUAAUACUAUGUAGGAUGUAUAACUAAUCUAUGUAUUAAUUAUACACUACUCCAAAUUUGUUACCAAAUUAUAUAAUAAUACCAUACUUUAAUACAUGAAUUAUCAAAAUAAUAUACCUUAUCAAACGGCUCCUUAAUGUAGUAAGGUUGGACCGGACAAAUGAGAAAUUUUAGAGAAAAGACAUCUUCUCCCCCUGAACUUGUCCUCCAAACUACGUUUAGUACUUAAACUUAACUUUCGUUUAUUUACCCCCUUAACAACUUUCAAGUGAAUUAAAUUCACCCCUUACGGCUGACGUGGCAAAAAAAAAGCGAGUGAUUUUUUUUAAAAAGGACCCACUUUAUAUAUAUAUAUAUAAAUUAAAAAAAAAAAUCAAGAACCCACUUCCAUCUUCAUCUUCUUCAUAACCACCUCCACCCCUAACACCUCAUUUCUUCAUCUUCUUCGUACCCCCCACCCCAUUUCUUCAUCUUCUUCAUACCCUGCAUCCCUAUCCCACCCCAUUUCUCCAUCUUCUUUGUUUAGGCCAAAUUCAUCCUUUUUUUUCAAGAACACCAUUACUAAGCUCCAUUAACUCCUCCCUUUAUUAAUUUUUUUUAUUUUUAUUUAAUUUUUUCAAAUGACUACAUUCAAUUUGUGAUGAUAAAUAACUUGAUUCGAAUUUAUCAAUUUCAAAAAUUUGGGAGUUUUGGGAUUUUGGGUUUUGGUUAAUGUGAAAGAAUUUGGAUUUGAGAUUUUGUGUAUUAAUUUAUUUUUGUGAUCAUGUACUUGUAUUCAGUUCAUUGAUGAAUUUGCUCAAGUUAAUUUUACAUUUGAUGAAGAAAACAAUUCAUUGAAAAGCUUGCAACAAUGGUGAAAGAAUGAGAAAAAAAGGAUGCUUUUAUGUGAAGAAGAAAAAGAAGAAGAAGAAGAAGAAGGAGGAGGAGGAGGAGGAGGAGGAGGAGGAGGUUUUUUGAAAAAAUUAUAAUUAUUACGUGGCAGUGAUAUGGUACUGAUGUGGCAGUGAUUUGGCAAUGGCGUGACGCGUGUGUAGUGCACUCUCCGUGUGAGAGUGGGAUUUUAAUUUUGAAGGUGAAUUUAAUUCACUUGAAAGUUGUUAAGGGGUGUAAAUAAACGAAAGUUAAGGUUAAAUGCUAAAGUGAGUUUGGAGGACAAGUUCAGGGGUAAGAGGGAGGCUUUGGAUUUUUCAGUUGUAGAUCUCCAAUAAAUUAUGUGGCGCUUUCAUAAUUUUUUUUCGUGUUUUUGGUCAAACAUUUGAUCGGUUUGGUACUUGGGAUUAGAAAAUACAUAGUGAGAUCAAGAAUUGAUUUUUAAGAUUACUUUUUUUAAAAAAUAAAUAAAUUGAGUGUUAAUAUUGAGAAGAAACUUUUAUUUUUGUACUAAAAGGUCACUUGGUAGGGUGUAUUAGGAGAAUUACUAUGUAUUAUGCAUGAUAUUAUUUAGUACGACUAUGUUUGGUAGGAUUUUGGAUCUAUGUAUGUAUAUCUAAUAUAUGUAUUAGUUAUAUACGUUGCUUGGUAUAAUAUGAUAUAUAAUUAAUAUCUUUCAUUUGAUGGUAUCAGGAGUCAAUUUUUCAUAUUGUUACUCAACUAGGAAAAUGUCCCAUUAAAGUCACUUAUCUUUUUUUGAUUUCAAUAUUAUCAUUCAAUUUUAUACAUUUUUCUUACAAACUAACAAUGACUAAAAUAGUCCUUAUUCUUUGAGAGAAAAAUGACCAAUAUAUUGCUCGUUAAAUCUUGAAUUUAGAUUGUCUUUAUUUUUCGAUAUGAAAUAUUAAUAAGCCUCCAACUAUAUUUCAUGUUUUUACUUCAUAAAUUAAAUUUUUUUAUAUAUUUUUAUACAUAAGUACACAAUGUUAUUUAAAAAGACGUAUCAUAAUAUUAAAAAAUAAAAAAUAAAAAUAAAAAUAAAAAUUUAGAGAUGUAUUUAGAUUUUAAAGUCAAGUUGAAAAGGUAAUAUAAUAUUUUUUCAAAAUAAUAUCACAAGAUUGAUAAAAAUAAUAUUUGAAAACUUUAACAUUUAUAAAUUACACAAUGAUUAUAUGAAAUUUCUUAAUUUUAUAUGAUGUUGAAUGAUUUAUGAUUUUAUCUUAUAUCCUUCAUCAAUAUUUUAAUUUAUUAUUGAAAUUUCUUAAAAUAGUUAUAUAUAAAUUUUUUCUACUAGCUAGAAAUCCUAGUUAUUUUUUGUUCUUUUUAUUUUUGUUUGGGGGCGGGGAGAAUGAGGGUUGAAAGAAGCCAUCAUCUUCUAUAUGUCACACCCCUUUUUUGUCUGAGGGGUCGAAGGGUUUUUUCAAUUAAAGUGACCAUUUUGAAUAGUGAUUAGUUUUACUAUUUCUAGAGUCGACAUUUGAAAUUGAGUUGUGGUAUUCCAACUCUCCUUAUUGAAUCCCUAAUCAAAAGAAAUGACUCUUUGUUGGUCUGCGAAAAUAGAAGACCGGAUAAAGAAUUCUAUUGACCGAGGAGAAGGUGUGAGGUCCCCCUCGAGUCCCGUGAUUCUAGCACGGUCGCUUUUAUCAACUUAUACUUGACUAAAACUAUUUUGGGUAAAUUAUGUCUGUAGGCCUUGAUUAGCUCAUUUUAAUAUCUAGUAUCUAUCUAUACCUCUUGUAUUAAGUUAGUGGAAAUUAAUUUUAGGACUAUCUUUGUCGAGGUGCAAUAUCGCAUCCUCGAAUUAUUUUUAAAUAUCUCAGAAAGAUGCGUACAUGACAUUCUUAAUUAAGACAAAUAUAUUAAGCGUGACUAGAGCGUAUCUAAUAUUAAAGGCAUUCGUACGUCUUUUAUAACUCGAGAUAAUUUUUCUUAUUCAUUUUUUCAUUCUUUUCUUAAAAAUUCACAAUGAGUUUUGGAUUAGUCCAUAACUCGUCUCUCUCCCUUACGAAUAGUUUUUUCCUCUCUUUUCUUUUAUCCAUAACAAUAGGUUUCGAAUAAAACCGUAACCUAUCUCGGUCAUUCUCACCUUAGUUAAUUUGAUUAAAAAGUAAAAGAAAUUUGGUCUAGGCUUGGAGAAUAUAAAUAGAUACUAUUUCUUUUUUUUUUUUUUAGAACGACAAGGAUUAAUUCAACAAUUGGCGAACAAAUUAAUAUAUAAGCUUAAUAAAAUUACUUCAAAACCAAAUUAACAUAAUGCUUAACAAAUUUACUUAAUAAAGCUAUAUUUGAAAAACUUAUCACAACGAAAUAUAUAAAAAAAGGGGAAAACAACAACAACAACAAUAAUAAUAAUAAUAAUAAUAAUAAUUAGCUAACAACAAUUUUAUUUUCUUCUUAAAACUGUUAUUCAUUCACUUUUUUAAUCUUUUUUUAAAGCUUUCUUUAUCAUUUUUGUCAUCUGUCCACUCGUUUUUUUGUUUGUUUUCUCUCUUUUUUUUAAAAAAAAAAAACUUGUACGUGCAUGUGAUUUUUUAGUGUGUGCACGUCUUUUCUCCUCCUCAAUUGCUUUGUCUUAAAAUAUCCAGACAAGAUCUAUAAAUUAUUCUCAUAUAUAUAUGACUUAUCACUACUUUAGAGGUAAAGGUAUGGACUGCGUACAUCUUAUCCUUUUCAGAUCUCAAUAUGUGGGAAUACACUGAGUUUGUUGUUGUUGUAUAUGACUUGUCAGCUUUUUCUUUUCCUGUCUUACUCUAUUGGAAAACCUCAAAACAAAUACUCCCUCCAUUUCAAAAAAAAUGAUCUACUUUGACUUAACACAAAGUUUAAAAAAAUAAAGAACACUUUUGAAUCUUAUGAUCUUAAAUUAAAGUUGUGUCAAAUGUACCAAAAUACCCUUUAAUUUUGUGGUCCUAAAUAUGUCAUGUGGAAAGCAGAACUUAAAGUAUUGUAAAAAAAAAAAAGGGAUCAUUCUUUUUUAAACGGACUAAAAAGAAAAAUAGAUAAUUCAUUUUUAAACGGAGAGAAUAGCAGAAAGUAAGAUAAAAACUAACUCAAAAGACCCAUCUAGCCUGACAUCGACUAAUUUCACGGAUUACCUAUUUCCUACCACCAUCAACACAGGAAAUUUCUAUGAGUUAACACGAUCAACUCGCUACUUUGAUGUUUGGCAUUUUCCAGUCAUCAAAAAAGAAUGGUCUAACAAGUUGUUCCUAUAAUAACUAAUUCUUGUGUCUAUACAUCUUAUUUCACUACAACUAAAAUAAUGGAGAUUGAUGGAAGCAUCAAAGCAGACAAAUGACAAUCCUAAUUACUGAUCUUUCUCCAAUAAGACCCGAACUUUAAAUUUCCUUCGUGUUUGAAAUAUUGUACAACGGUGUCUUGAAAACAAACAUAUUAUCACCGUUAAGAUUGCAUGUCAACUGAAUAUAACCUUACAUUUUUUAAUACUAAUAACUUAAAAUUAUCUCAUUCAAUAUUCGAAACUAGUCUAGUUAACCUUACUUCGGAAUGGCAAACUAGUUAUAAAUAAAGAUAUAAUGUAAAUUAUAUAAAAAAAAUAAUAAAUUACACAUAAUGAACAAUAUAAAAGUCAUGGAAAUAACUUUAUUCAUGCUUCAAUUCACAUAGAAAACUUAUAAAAUAACCAGUACGGAUUCGAUAAGAACCUGUCUGGCGAAUUGAAGCAAAGCACGAACAACAUCACCAAAAACUGAAACGAAACCUGAACUCGAUCCGCUACUUCCUUUUCCUUCCUUCUUUCUUGUUUUCAUUACUAUUUUUUUGUUUUUCUCCCUCUGUUUUUUUUGUUUUCUCCUUUUUUUCUUGUUGUCAAUGUUUUUCUCUUGUUUCUUAUCCCCGUGUGCUCCCCUUCUUGUGUGUUUAUAUAAUGGUAUGUAUGUGUAUAUAGAAGGUUGAAGUGUGAGGGAAUAAUGGGGAAAGUGGGGGAAGACG